Molecule: long non-coding RNA, 1910 nt
Organism: Bombus huntii
Lineage: Eukaryota; Metazoa; Arthropoda; Insecta; Hymenoptera; Apidae
Exons: 5
Source: RefSeq, a predicted model, not a curated record
UUCUAUAUUCCAUGCUUAGCGUGUGUCGCUGUAUCCUACGGUCGUUUUUUCUUGUAACUGUUUGGUUAGAAUUAUGUUAUUGAAGAUUGCAUUAUGAGAAUGGUGUAAACAUCUCAAACAGCAGAGUGGUAGUAUAUAAUUCGUAUAAUCAGAGAUGAAAUAAGGCGGCAUUGGCGUCACGCGUUUGAAAAAUACUUAUCUACUUCGUUUGUCCCAGUAUUUGAGGGGUAAUGCGAGAAUACUAACAGGGUGGUAUCGAAUCGAUUGAAUUACUACGAGAAAUCGGCGAUGAUGUUCGAUCGUGUAUUCGGGCCAUGAAUUCGAUUAGGCAUUGCGUGGCCCACGACGCGGAUAGUCUGUUUACUGUGUCGAUUUAGGAACUUGAUAUCCUCGACGUGCAGCGUGGUGGGUAAAUGGCCGCACAAUGCACCCCAGGCGUUCACGCACGAGUCGGUAUCUGGGCACGAUUGACACGGGCCUACGUUCGAAAAGCACGUUCGAAGAAUCGGCAGAUGAAAAGAGACAGAAGUAUGUAGGACAGGGGGAGAAAAGGGAUAACAUCGUCGCACGCUCCUAGAAAGCGUUGUAAGUACGUAGAAGGAGUAAACGGGGUUCCGUUUCGGUGGAGUUAUGGGGUGAGUCAUCACCUGGCUUCGCUUCAUAAAAGGGGGAAAACUAGACUCAUAGGACUGCCGUGUUAUACCUUAUGGGGGUUUACGGGCGGGGCACAAACAGAUUCCGGCUGGUUGCGUCGCGAAAGGCAGGUGAGGACAGGGGUAUAUGCCAAAUGCACUCACUUACAGUGAUAUUAAGCGUUUCCAUGCUGUAGAAUGGUUUUUGCAGAUAGUUCUAUCAUAAUCCGCGAUAGUUGUGAUAGACGUAUUUUUUGUAAAUUUCUUGAUCUUACUAAAUACUUGGCAUAUCUUGCACAGUGAGUUAUUAGUUAAUAAUUGCAGGGAAUUGACUAGUUAGACAUUGUAGAUUAUACCUCUUUCAUAAUUUUAUAAUUUUAUAUAAUGUUGGAUAAUCAGAUAUACUGGUAAUUUGUAAAAUUUGCUUGUAAAGUUUCGUUUAUUUUAUUAUCGAAUUUCUUAGGUACUAUAAUACGAGAGAAUUUCAUCCAAGAAAGUUUCAAACACUUGAUUUAUCUAGGGAUUGUACAAUCCUUGGCGAGAUUUUUUGGGAACUUCUGAAAAGUCAGAAAAGUAUAUCUAAAAAAAAAAAGAUAAAUAAACAUAAAAAACAACUUUAGGUAAAUAUAAAGAAUGUUCCAGCCAAUUAGUAGAAUCAGCGAUAUUUUUAUUGUUUGUUGAAGUAAUUAGUUGAAGAAAUACUCUAAACCUUUUCUUUUGUAUAUCCGUGACCUGGAGACUGCUGUUACGAAGAGAAUAGAAUUUAGUGAAAAAAAAGUUCAAAAUAAGGAAAGGUGCAUAUUAUUGUGCCCUUGAAUAUAAAUUUUGUGUUGGGUUAUAAAGUCUAGAAACAAAAGAGCUAUAAGUAGAUUUCUAUUGCUAUUUCUUGUAGCCUUCAGCUAGAGCUAACACACCAAGGUUAACUUUUUGGUACUGUCCGUUGCUAUAAAUAUAUGAACGUGCUUCCUAUCAUUUUUCUAUUGUAUUGUAACACUGAAACAGCGAGGAUCUGGAUCAGCAUACACUAUACCUAUACUUAUUUCAAUAUAUUUUUCUAUUACAAAUUCAUCCACUCGUUUCUCUAUCAGCCAACCUCAACAUUGUUAUACGUUAAAAUGUUAUUUAUUAUAUGGUAAAAUAUUAUGGAUGAAAAUUCAUCUUUAAAUGUUGUAGAUAAAAUAGAUAAACGAAGUUAAAUGAUAAUGUAGGAUUUCUUGAAAUUGUUGUAUAUUAUGAGACACAUAUGUACUAAGUACAGCAAAAAAAAAAAAAAAAGAA